GAUGAACGCUGGCGGCGUGCCUGAUACAUGCAAGUCGAGCGAACAGACGAGGAGCUUGCUCCUCUGACGUUAGCGGCGGACGGGUGAGUAACACGUGGAUAACCUACCUAUAAGACUGGGAUAACUUCGGGAAACCGGAGCUAAUACCGGAUAAUAUAUUGAACCGCAUGGUUCAAUAGUGAAAGACGGUUUUACUGUCACUUAUAGAUGGAUCCGCGCCGCAUUAGCUAGUUGGUAAGGUAACGGCUUACCAAGGCAACGAUGCGUAGCCGACCUGAGAGGGUGAUCGGCCACACUGGAACUGAGACACGGUCCAGACUCCUACGGGAGGCAGCAGUAGGGAAUCUUCCGCAAUGGGCGAAAGCCUGACGGAGCAACGCCGCGUGAGUGAUGAAGGUCUUCGGAUCGUAAAACUCUGUUAUUAGGGAAGAACAAAUGUGUAAGUAACUAUGCACGUCUUGACGGUACCUAAUCAGAAAGCCACGGCUAACUACGUG
Molecule: ribosomal RNA, 497 nt
Filed under: uncultured bacterium
Lineage: Bacteria
Description: partial 16S ribosomal RNA
Rfam family: Bacterial small subunit ribosomal RNA
Source: RNAcentral